UACAAGAGCAAGCAGGUACAGAGCAUC
Molecule: non-coding RNA, 27 nt
Filed under: Mus musculus (house mouse)
Lineage: Eukaryota; Metazoa; Chordata; Mammalia; Rodentia; Muridae
Source: RNAcentral